AUACGGAGGAUCCGAGCGUUAUCCGGAUUUAUUGGGUUUAAAGGGUGCGCAGGCGGCCAUUUAAGUCAGCGGUUAAAUCGUGGGGCUCAACCCCAUUCUGCCGUUGAUACUGGGUGGCUUGAUUGCGGUCGAGGUUGGCGGAAUUAGUUGUGUAGCGGGGAAAUGCAUAGAUAUGACGAAGAACACCGAUUGCGUAGGCAGCUGACCAGACCGCAAAUGACGCUCAUGCACGAAAGUGCGGGGAUCGAACAGGAUUAGAUACCCUGGUAGUCCGCACAGUAAACGAUGAAUACUUGUUUUCGGCGAUAUAAUGUCGGAGGCAAAGCGAAAGCGAUAAGUAUUCCACCUGGGGAGUACGCCGGCAACGGUGAAACUCAAAUGAAUUGACGGGG
This 392-nucleotide ribosomal RNA is filed under the name uncultured bacterium. Its description in RNAcentral is "partial 16S ribosomal RNA". It matches the Rfam family "Bacterial small subunit ribosomal RNA", at positions 523 to 918 of the family's 1533-position model. The record is from RNAcentral.